AUAGUACCUUACUACUUGGAUAACCGUGGUAAUUCUAGAGCUAAUACAUGCUGAACGCCCCGACUUGCGGAGGGGUGUGUUUAUUAGAUAAAAAACCAACGCCCUUCGGGGCUCCUUGGUGAAUCAUAAUAACCUCACGAAUCGCAUGGCCUUGCGCCGGCGAUGGCUCGUUCAAAUUUCUGCCCUAUCAACUUUCGAUUGUAGUGUAGUGGACUACAAUGGUGUUUACGGGUAACGGGAAAUUAGGGUUUGAUUCCGGAGAGGGAGCCUGAGAAACGGCUACCACAUCCAAGGAAGGCAGCAGGCGCGCAAAUUACCCAAUCCCGACGCGGGGAGGUAGUGACAAUAAAUACUGAUACAGGGCUCUUUUGGGUCUUGUAAUCGGAAUGAGUACAAUUUAAACCCCUUAACGAGGAACAAUUGGAGGGCAAGUCUGGUGCCAGCAGCCGCGGUAAUUCCAGCUCCAAUAGCGUAUAUUAAAAUUGUUGCAGUUAAAAAGCUCGUAGUUGAACCUUGGGCCUGGCUGGCCGGUCCGCCUCACCGCGUGCACUGGACCGGCCGGGCCUUUCCUCCCGGCGAACCCCAUGCCCUUCGCUGGGUGUGCGGGGGACCCGGGACUUUUACUUUGAAAAAAUUAGAGUGUUCAAAGCAGGCCUUCGCUCGAAUACAUUAGCAUGGAAUAAUGGAAUAGGACGCGCGGUCCUAUUUUGUUGGUUUCUAGGACCGCCGUAAUGAUUAAUAGGGAUGGUCGGGGGCGUCAGUAUUCAAUUGUCAGAGGUGAAAUUCUUGGAUUUAUUGAAGACUAACUACUGCGAAAGCAUUCGCCAAGGAUGUUUUCAUUAAUCAGUGAACGAAAGUUAGGGGAUCGAAGACGAUCAGAUACCGUCGUAGUCUUAACCGUAAACUAUGCCGACUAGGGAUCGGGCGAUGUUAUCAUCUUGACUCGCU
This 948-nucleotide ribosomal RNA is filed under the name Lineolata rhizophorae. RNAcentral describes it as "SSU rRNA". It matches the Rfam family "Eukaryotic small subunit ribosomal RNA", at positions 124 to 1080 of the family's 1831-position model. The record is from RNAcentral. Lineage: Eukaryota; Fungi; Ascomycota; Dothideomycetes; Lineolatales; Lineolataceae.